MicroRNA precursor from Cricetulus griseus (Chinese hamster), 77 nucleotides. The record is from Ensembl. NCBI's taxonomy places the organism in Eukaryota, Metazoa, Chordata, Mammalia, Rodentia, Cricetidae.
GUGAGGGCAGGAAUACAGGGUACGGGUACCAGGGUCCACCCCAGACACACUGUCUGACACUCCUUCCUCCUCCCCAG